GGUGUCCAAUUCAGUUCAAUUUGGAUACCAUCUACUUGGAAUUAGUGUCAAAUCCCACAAAUUAAAGGGCCUAGUCCCAAAGACUAACCCUGCUUCAGGUGCCAGCUGCAAGUAGGGUACCCAGGUGACCCACAUUUCUGCCCAGCCAACUACAUAUUUGAGGAUUCCCAUGACCACCCCUCCCCCAACUUUGAUAAUUCACCAUAUAACUCACAGAACUCAGGAAAGUGCUCUACUUAUUAUUACAGUUUAUUAUAAGGGGUACAACUCAAAAGAGCCAAAUGAAAGAGAUGCAUAUGGCAAGGUAUGGGAUAAGGGUUGCCAAGCUUCCAUGCCCUCUCCAAAUGCACCAGCCUCCCACCACAUUGGUGUGCUCACCAACCCAGAAGCUACUUGAACUCUCUCAUUUAGGGGUUUUUAUGAAAGUUUUGUUACAUGGGCAUGAUUGAUUAAAUCAUUGGCCAUGGGUGAUUGAAUUUCAUCACCAGCCUUCUCUCCUCCCUGGAGGUUGGUGGGAGGGAGGGGAUUGAAAGUUCUAACCCUCUAAUCAUGUGGUUGGUUUUUCUGGUGACCAGGCCCCCCCUUUGUGAGUCAUCUCAUGAGCACACAAAAGACAGUAGAUUCCAAGGAUUUUAGGAGCUCUAUGCUAAGAAUCAGGGACAAAAAUAAAUUAAAAAAUUUUUUUUAAAUUAAAAAAAUUUUAUUAUACCACAGAGGCAGAAACCAUUUACUCACAGUCUUGCUGAGAAGGAAGUGCUAGAGCAGGCCUGGAUGAGGGAGAUGGGGCCAGCGUGGAGGGCAGCUCCAAGGUAACAAGCGGACAACACAGCUUGGGUCAAGGCUGAGUGUGCUGUGGCUGUUCUGGAACAGGAUGUGGGCUUGUGCCAAGGUCGGGUUGGAAUAAUAUCCCUCAUGGAAAAAGGAAACUGUUCUGAGAUAGCUCAGAGGUCAGUCCACAUGACAUUCUUGAGUGCUCUGAGGAAUCAAUCCUGGAAUCUGUCAGUCUGUUCAGCUGCUGUAACAGAUAACAUGGACUGGGUGGCUUAUGAAUCACAGAAAUUUACCUCUUCGGGUUAUGGUGGUGGGAAGUUCAAGUUCACCCAUCAAGCCUGGUCGGUUGUAGAUGAAGGUCCUCUUCUGGGUUGCAGAAUGGCGACAUCUCAUUAUGUUCUCACAUGGCAGAAGGUGGGCAAGCAGCUCUCUGGGGCUUCUUUAUUAAAGGUACGAAUUCCAUUCAGGGGGGCUCUUCUCUCAUGACCUAAUCACCUUCCCAAGGCCCCACCUCCUACAACCAUAACAUUAGGUAUUAGGAAUUCAGCAUAUGAAUUUUGGGGGAUGUAUCCAUUUAAACCACAGCAGAAUCUAUUUUUGAAAAGACCCAAAUGCCCUGAAAGGUACAGAGAAGGACUAGGAGCAUGCUCUAGGAGUAGCAUAGCAAGAAUGCUAAAAAGGAAGGAAGCUCACAUUUCAAGAGCACUCACCAUAUGCCAGGCCCCAUGCUGGCUGCUUUACCUACAUGAUCUUUUCAUUUUCCCAACAGUUCCGUGAGGUUGGCUUUACCCACUUCUACUUCCAGAUACUGAAGCUGAGGUUCAGAGAAGUUAAAUAGUUUGUCUAAGGUCAAUGUGGUAAUCCGUACCACGUGGUGGCCCAUAGCAUGUAGUGGUCCAUACCAUGUGGCGGUCCAUUGACCACAAGCUAUGCUCUUUCCAAUGCAUAACAAAAGAGUUGUGGAUACUGACAGUAUCAGUAGAGACUGAUUUUAGAAUUAGAAGUAAACUUGGAGUAAAUGGGCAGCUGGUACUAAAUAGACUUAGAAGUAUUUUUAGUGAUUACCCUCUCCCAUACCUAUACCAGGUGGUCUCUGGUUUCAGUUUUUCUUUCGGUUGGGGUAGCCCAGCAAGUUGAGGAAUGAUUCCUUCCAAACAUCACCUGCAAGAAUAGAAAGAUGAGAAUGGGAGAAAGUGUGAAAAGAAGAUUAAUGGAAAGCAAAGGGAUAAUCUUCUGAGAACUUUAGAAUAUUAUAUCUCUGCAAUAAUUAGUUAAUGUGGCUCAAGAAUAGACUCAGAGAUGAAUGGAGGAAAAUAUAUAUUUUUGUGGAAGCAAACUCUAAAAGUCAACAUGCAAUAAAGGAAAUGCUGCAAGUCA
This is a long non-coding RNA of Vulpes vulpes (red fox), 2148 nucleotides long. Lineage: Eukaryota; Metazoa; Chordata; Mammalia; Carnivora; Canidae. The record is from Ensembl.